Molecule: long non-coding RNA, 896 nt
Filed under: Vigna radiata
Lineage: Eukaryota; Viridiplantae; Streptophyta; Magnoliopsida; Fabales; Fabaceae
Description: long non-coding RNA (VRAD_LNC014648)
Source: RNAcentral
UGGAAUUUCCUCAAGAACAAAUUCGUAAGGGUCUUUCUGAUUGAUACCCAAAAGCCUGUUCCCUGCAUCAUCGCCAACAAGAGCAACAUUACCGCAGAGGUCGCCGCCAAACUUGCAGAACACAAGCUUAUAGAUAUUGGCUCGGACAUUCUUAAUACUGAAGGUACCUCUGAUUGUAUAUGUAUAGCCACUAACUUUAACGAGGGUUCCUUCAGGAAAACCGGCAACAGCGGUCCACUCAAGAGAGGAGUCAUCAGCGAAGCUAAUUGUCGCUUGACCUGUAGAGAGAAAUCCGGUACGGGCAAAGGAUGUAAUGAUCAAUGGAAGCCCGUUAUCGACCUCGCUGGGAGAUUGCACAACACUGAGGGGUAUAGUUUCGUUUCCAGUUUUGAUUCGCCGAAUACCACCGGCUAUUGUAAAUAACGGCAAUAUAUGAAAUCGGCCACCAUUUUUAACGAUGUUACCAUGCAGGUCCUUUACAGGUGCUGCAUCGGUUGAAGGAGGGUAAAAGGUUAGGACAGAAAGAAGGAAGAGAGCAAAAAGCAUUUUACUCGCCAUUUCUUUGGUUGGCUAUGGAACAAAUCUCAAUGCUUUUCUUUUCUUUGUUCAGUUAAGGUUGUGUGAAUAAAAGAAGAUGGGAGAACCCAUUUAUAGAGCUACGCGACGGUGCGAUGGUGAUAAGGUAAACAUUUUUUAUGGACAGAAAAUCCUGGUACUUAUAAAUACGUGAGAAAAAUGAGAAAAAGGAAAAUAAUACUUAGGUUUAAAUAUAUGUUUCGAUUUUCUGUAAAAUAAAUUUCUUAGUUUUGGUUGGUUAAAAAUAUUUUGCAUUUAUCUGUUUAAAAUUUUUGUUAUAUUUUUCAGCUUUUACUAAAUUUUCCAAAUCUUUUACUUUA